Molecule: ribosomal RNA, 518 nt
Filed under: Fusarium fujikuroi
Lineage: Eukaryota; Fungi; Ascomycota; Sordariomycetes; Hypocreales; Nectriaceae
Description: eukaryotic LSU rRNA
Rfam family: 5.8S ribosomal RNA (bases 148-301)
Source: RNAcentral
UGGGCUCGACUAACUCCCAACCCCUGUGACAUACCAAUUGUUGCCUCGGCGGAUCAGCCCGCUCCCGGUAAAACGGGACGGCCCGCCAGAGGACCCCUAAACUCUGUUUCUAUAUGUAACUUCUGAGUAAAACCAUAAAUAAAUCAAAACUUUCAACAACGGAUCUCUUGGUUCUGGCAUCGAUGAAGAACGCAGCAAAAUGCGAUAAGUAAUGUGAAUUGCAGAAUUCAGUGAAUCAUCGAAUCUUUGAACGCACAUUGCGCCCGCCAGUAUUCUGGCGGGCAUGCCUGUUCGAGCGUCAUUUCAACCCUCAAGCCCCCGGGUUUGGUGUUGGGGAUCGGCGAGCCCUUGCGGCAAGCCGGCCCCGAAAUCUAGUGGCGGUCUCGCUGCAGCUUCCAUUGCGUAGUAGUAAAACCCUCGCAACUGGUACGCGGCGCGGCCAAGCCGUUAAACCCCCAACUUCUGAAUGUUGACCUCGGAUCAGGUAGGAAUACCCGCUGAACUUAAGCAUAUCAAAA